CUGCCAUGUAAGACCGUAAGACCUGCCUUUCUCCUUCUGCCAUGAUUGUAAGUCCUCUCCAACCAUGUGGAAUGGAGUCCAUCCCCACAAAGGACUAAGAUGGGAAGAGGUCAAGUUUAGCGUUUCCCUACAGUAGUAGAGAGGGUCCAAUCCGGGAACCAUGUUGCAUUGGGCUGUCACAUUGCUUCAUUCUCCUUGAGUCUGGCACAGCUUCUCAGGUUUUGUCUUUCUUGACCUAUGACCUUUUGAAGAAUACUGGCUAGAUAGUUUAUAGAAGAAUGUCUUUCAAUUCGGAAUUUUCUGAUAUUUUAUCAUGUCAACUUUAGGUUGUAGAUGCUGGGCACAAAUAUGGCAGAGGUAAUAUGCCUUUCUUUGUGUAUCGUUUCAGCUGGCUGGCAUAAUUUCUGAUGAGAAAUCAAUCCUUAUUUUUA
Long non-coding RNA from Rhinopithecus roxellana (golden snub-nosed monkey), 431 nucleotides. RefSeq lists it as uncharacterized. The record is from RefSeq and is a predicted model, not a curated record. The transcript is spliced from 3 exons. NCBI's taxonomy places the organism in Eukaryota, Metazoa, Chordata, Mammalia, Primates, Cercopithecidae.